CUGUCAUUUUCUCAGCAGGCAAUUUCUUAAGCCAUAAACGGUGGAAGCGACGUAGAGAGUGACAGGGUGGGCAGAGAAAGUGUUCCAGAGGAGAAACAAUGUUAAGGGAGUUCGCCUGAAAUCUUCACAAUUUCAGUGAAAAUGGUCCGAAUUUGUAGUUGUUUUCGGGCAGCGUAGCUGGUGUAGCGCACCAGAUUCUCGAGGUGUGGUGCGCAUCUCUCACCUCUCGCCACGGGCACUGAGCAUGCCCAGCUUGUCUGCGAGAGGGGUCCCCCCCAGAGGAGCUGCCAGCCAAUACUCCAUCGCUCCAGGUUUUAUGAACAACCGCGAGUGGGGAGGAGGGACAGGAGCAAGGAGCCGGGCAGAGCAACGGGUUCAACACAGGGAUUGGUCGCAAGUAGGAAGCUUUUCCACUACACCGGGUCUCGGGGAAUCUGUCUGCGGUCCCGAGGCUCCCGCGGAGCUCCUAGCAAAGGUAAUGUGCAGUUGAAUGUUCAAGAUAAAUAUCUUACUCCAGAAAAGGAUUGUCUGACACAUAGUCAUUCCACAAUAUGCAUCCAAUAUACAGAUCCUUAUGAAAGGUAAGAUUCUACCAUAGGGGAAAGGUCCAUUUGCUGCCUAAGAUUAAUAUCUUUCAGUUAUUGG
RNAcentral lists this long non-coding RNA (645 nucleotides) under Phascolarctos cinereus (koala). Its description in RNAcentral is "lncRNA (ENSPCIG00000036181.1)". Lineage: Eukaryota; Metazoa; Chordata; Mammalia; Diprotodontia; Phascolarctidae. The record is from RNAcentral.